This is a long non-coding RNA of Cucurbita maxima (winter squash), 456 nucleotides long. RefSeq lists it as uncharacterized. The record is from RefSeq and is a predicted model, not a curated record. The transcript is spliced from 2 exons. NCBI's taxonomy places the organism in Eukaryota, Viridiplantae, Streptophyta, Magnoliopsida, Cucurbitales, Cucurbitaceae.
CUAUGGAGGUGUGGUGCAGAUCAGGGUGUCAGAUGUUGUGGUUGAGGACGACCCAAAUGCUGAAAUUCUGCAUUGGUUGGAUUGCAUGAGCUUUUCUCUUUGGGGGUGUUAUGUGGAAUUGAUUCUUUAUGCGUGAAGGAUCAGUUUUGAGAGAAUGUUAUAGGGAUUUGUAGUUCCAAGAGGAUGCGCGGAGGAUGAACAGUGAAAAAGUCAGAAACAAACAAGUCAAUGUUGGUUGGAAACUGGAAAGAAUGGCUUAUGAACACAGAUGAAAGGUAAAUUCAAACUGCAAAUUUGAAACCUCUCCGCUUUUGACCUCUGUCGUCAAUGCAAAAUUCCAUGUCAUUUUCUGCUCUCUGUUGUAACCUAGGAACAUGGUCGCCUCCUAUUGUUUCUCUUUUAUUUCUAAGCUAUUCAUUCAUCUGGUUCCCUGAAUAAAGAGAAUUUUUUCUGAUU